Molecule: ribosomal RNA, 429 nt
Filed under: uncultured bacterium
Lineage: Bacteria
Description: bacterial SSU rRNA
Rfam family: Bacterial small subunit ribosomal RNA
Source: RNAcentral
GUGAACGCUGGCGGCGUGCCUAAUACAUGCAAGUCGAACGAACCUUCGGGUUAGUGGCGAACGGCUGAGUAACACGUUGGAACCUGCCCUAAAGUAGAGGAUAGCUUCGGGAAACCGGAGGUAAUACUCUAUGUGAUCUACGGAUUAAAGAUUUAUCGCUUUAGGAGGGUCCAGCGGCCGAUUAGCUUGUUGGUAUGGUAAUGGCCUACCAAGGCGACGAUCGGUAGCUGGUCUGAGAGGAUGAUCAGCCAGAUUGGGACUGAGACACGGCCCAGACUCCUACGGGAGGCAGCAGUAGGGAAUCUUCCACAAUGGGCGAAAGCCUGAUGGAGCAACGCCGCGUGCAGGAUGAAGGCUUUCGGGUCGUAAACUGCUUUUAUUUGGGAAGAUUAUGACGGUACCAAAUGAAUAAGGAUUGGCUAACUCCGU